RNAcentral lists this ribosomal RNA (686 nucleotides) under uncultured Bacilli bacterium. RNAcentral's name for it is "bacterial SSU rRNA". It matches the Rfam family "Bacterial small subunit ribosomal RNA", at positions 58 to 727 of the family's 1533-position model. Lineage: Bacteria; Bacillati; Bacillota; Bacilli. The record is from RNAcentral.
CAAGUAGAACGCUGAAGGAAGGAGCUUGCUCUUUCUGGAUGAGUUGCGAACGGGUGAGUAACGCGUAGGUAACCUGCCUGGUAGCGGGGGAUAACUAUUGGAAACGAUAGCUAAUACCGCAUAACAGUAGAUGUUGCAUGAUAUCUGCUUGAAAGGGGCAAUUGCUCCACUACCAGAUGGACCUGCGUUGUAUUAGCUAGUUGGUGAGGUAACGGCUCACCAAGGCGACGAUACAUAGCCGACCUGAGAGGGUGAUCGGCCACACUGGGACUGAGACACGGCCCAGACUCCUACGGGAGGCAGCAGUAGGGAAUCUUCGGCAAUGGACGGAAGUCUGACCGAGCAACGCCGCGUGAGUGAAGAAGGUUUUCGGAUCGUAAAGCUCUGUUGUAAGAGAAGAACGAGUGUGAGAGUGGAAAGUUCACACUGUGACGGUAUCUUACCAGAAAGGGACGGCUAACUACGUGCCAGCAGCCGCGGUAAUACGUAGGUCCCGAGCGUUAUCCGGAUUUAUUGGGCGUAAAGCGAGCGCAGGCGGUUAGAUAAGUCUGAAGUUAAAGGCUAUGGCUUAACCAUAGUACGCUUUGGAAACUGUUUAACUUGAGUGCAGAAGGGGAGAGUGGAAUUCCAUGUGUAGCGGUGAAAUGCGUAGAUAUAUGGAGGAACACCGGUAGCGAAAGCGGCUC